GUCAGAAAACUUCUGCUCAGUGUAGGAUUAAAUCACCGACUCUGAAAGUUUUGUUUCGGACUCGAGAAUUUAAGUAGUGGGCUAUUUUGUGGUGGUAGGCUGCCAUUCUAAUUUGAGCUAUUUCUCGGACCUUCUUCAGUAAAUCUAAGUCUGCACGCUGCCUUUUCGAGUUGGUCUGCCUUUCAAAAUUUUUAAUCCUCACUGAUGGAACCCCAACCUCCAUCGGUAUUACGGCUUCCAUGUCAAAGGUGAGACUAAAGGGAGUCUCAUCGGUGGGAGUUUUGGGUGUUGCUCG
RNAcentral lists this long non-coding RNA (295 nucleotides) under Elaeis guineensis (African oil palm). Its description in RNAcentral is "long non-coding RNA (EGUI_LNC044200)". The record is from RNAcentral. Lineage: Eukaryota; Viridiplantae; Streptophyta; Magnoliopsida; Arecales; Arecaceae.